UAAUAUCCGCAAAUAACAACAGCUCCCAGCCAUCAUCAACUUCAGAAAAAUCAACAAUUACACCGACACCAACAGCACCCGACAACAUUAUCAACAGCUACAUCAAUCCGUAUCAGCAACAUCAAUGACACCCAUAAUUUCAACACAACAACAGUAAAACAAUUUUGAAAUUCAAAUCUUAACUAGUUUUUCCUUCUUUACCCUUCUGAUUUCCCCCAAAACGACCCUAAAUUCUUCUAUAAAUAUCCACAUAUGUAGAGUGAUGGAAGAAGGGCUUUUCGGGGAAAAUUUUGGAGAUUUUGGAGGCGCGCGCUUCUGAUCUCACGUAACCGAAAAUCUUCGAAGAACACUCAAAGAAAAGAAUCAAAUUCGACGAUUUGUUGGAAUUUCAGUGAUCGGAAUUGGGUCUCGGUGGUGGAAAUCGCAACGUGAUAAGCUUGUUGUUCCGUUCGCUGCCCGAAAAUAGUCCCUUGGACUCUCAUCCCUCGCAUUCUGUUGGGUUAAACCCAACUUGCAUCGAGUCAAGACCCGCACCAAGUUCGAAGUGGACUAAUACAUGAAGUAAAAUGGACUGAUACAAAGCUGUACACACAAAUAUACAGCGGUAUACUGAGGAUAUUCGACUGGAAAUGAAAAAAGGAAACUAGUGUGCAGGUGGAAGACUAAAAUAUCAGCAUAUGUGGCUGAUAUACGGUCUGAUAUACACUAUAUAUACACAAAAACGUGGGAAAAAGGAGCUGUAGUAUACAGAUGAUAUGUACAUUGAAAUAAUGGACUGAAAUUCAUGAGAUUUAGGCCCAAAAUCUGGGCAAGCCCAUAAAUGGGCCUAAAGGACCCAAUUCUAACUCUUCCUUUAUUUCCUCUUCUUAUUUAUUUGUAUUUAUUUGAACACCCUAACUAAUUAAUUUAGAUAAAUCAUCUACGUCGUUAUAAUUUUA
Capsicum annuum is the source of this 938-nucleotide long non-coding RNA. RefSeq lists it as uncharacterized. NCBI's taxonomy places the organism in Eukaryota, Viridiplantae, Streptophyta, Magnoliopsida, Solanales, Solanaceae. The transcript has 2 exons. The record is from RefSeq and is a predicted model, not a curated record.